Molecule: ribosomal RNA, 166 nt
Filed under: Dendrobium epidendropsis
Lineage: Eukaryota; Viridiplantae; Streptophyta; Magnoliopsida; Asparagales; Orchidaceae
Description: 5.8S ribosomal RNA
Rfam family: 5.8S ribosomal RNA
About the family: 5.8S ribosomal RNA (5.8S rRNA) is a component of the large subunit of the eukaryotic ribosome. It is transcribed by RNA polymerase I as part of the 45S precursor that also contains 18S and 28S rRNA.
Source: RNAcentral
AUUGACACGACUUUCGGCAAUGGAUAUCUCGGCUCUCGCAUCGAUGAAGAGCGCAGCGAAAUGCGAUAUGUGGUGCGAAUUGCAGAAUCCCGCGAACCAUCGAGUCUUUGAACGCAAGUUGCGCCUGAGGCCAACCGGCCAAGGGCACGUCUGCCUGGGCGUCAAG